Molecule: ribosomal RNA, 426 nt
Filed under: uncultured Gammaproteobacteria bacterium
Lineage: Bacteria; Pseudomonadati; Pseudomonadota; Gammaproteobacteria
Description: bacterial SSU rRNA
Rfam family: Bacterial small subunit ribosomal RNA
Source: RNAcentral
GGGGAAUAUUGGACAAUGGGCGCAAGCCUGAUCCAGCCAUGCCGCGUGGGUGAAGAAGGCCUUCGGGUUGUAAAGCCCUUUUGUUGGGAAAGAAAAGCAGCCGGCCAAUACCCGGUUGUUCUGACGGUACCCAAAGAAUAAGCACCGGCUAACUUCGUGCCAGCAGCCGCGGUAAUACGGAGGGUGCAAGCGUUAAUCGGAAUUACUGGGCGUAAAGCGCACGCAGGCGGUCUGUCAAGUCGGAUGUGAAAUCCCCGGGCUCAACCUGGGAACUGCAUUCGAAACUGGCAGGCUUGAGUCUCGUAGAGGGGGGUAGAAUUCCAGGUGUAGCGGUGAAAUGCGUAGAGAUCGGGAGGAACAUCAGUAGCGAAGGCGACUGCCUGGGCCAACACUGACACUGAGGCACGAAAGCGUGGGGAGCAAACA